AAAAAAAAAAAUUUACAUAGCAUUUUCGUUUUGAAAAUCAGUUUAGAUAGUUUGAAUGGCUAACUAAAAUAAAGUCUUGUUGGAGUACACAUUAGCUAGAGUUGUUUGGCAAAAUAGAGAGUGCAAUUUUUUGUGUGCUUAGGCAAAAUGCCUAGAAGUGUGAGUUUUUUCUUCUCUUUCUCCCUCACUUUUGCAAGGAACUAAACAGUACCUUUACCUCUUUCUACUUCUCAAUCACUCCGUAUUCAUGUAUAUACUGGUGUCUUAACCUAAUUGUUUUCCUGUGCUUUUUUGCAGUGAUGGAGGCAGAGAUAGUGGCGAAACCGCAGGCUGUGAAUCCAUGCUGUGUUGUGUUGAAAGAGAAAUACUCAAAGCUGGAAGCCUCACGGAAUGCUCUUCGACAAGGUGUAAAGAUCCAAAAUGAACUCAUUGAUAAACUUCAAAAGG
This is a non-coding RNA of Camellia sinensis, 447 nucleotides long. Lineage: Eukaryota; Viridiplantae; Streptophyta; Magnoliopsida; Ericales; Theaceae. The record is from RefSeq and is a predicted model, not a curated record.